GCCUACGGCCAUACCACCCUAAACACGCCUGAUCUCUGAAGCUUAGCAGGGUCGGGCCUGGUUAGUACUUGGAUGGGAGACCGCCUGGGAAUACCAGGUGUUGUAGGCU
This is a non-coding RNA of Pelobates cultripes (western spadefoot toad), 109 nucleotides long. Lineage: Eukaryota; Metazoa; Chordata; Amphibia; Anura; Pelobatidae. The record is from the annotation of a GenBank genome assembly.